This 246-nucleotide unclassified non-coding RNA is filed under the name Hevea brasiliensis (rubber tree). The record is from RNAcentral. Lineage: Eukaryota; Viridiplantae; Streptophyta; Magnoliopsida; Malpighiales; Euphorbiaceae.
GUGGAAGGGUUAUCGUGAUGCAAGUUGCCUCUUUGUUGAGAUGCUUGCUAAGAAAGACGUUGAAACGUCUAGAUCUGCUUACCAUGAUCACGUGAAAAGUGAUUAUUGCCUCUGUCUAGCGAUUCAUGCACCGCGUAAAGGGAUUGUUGAGAUAUGGCAGAUGAGGACUGGUCCGCGUCUUCUAACUAUUCCAUGUGCCAAAGGUAGCAAGAUUUUGCAACCUACAUACAGAUUCGCCUCAUCAGA